UCAGCUUCACGCGCAGCAAUCUC
This 23-nucleotide non-coding RNA is filed under the name Arabidopsis thaliana (thale cress). The record is from RNAcentral. Lineage: Eukaryota; Viridiplantae; Streptophyta; Magnoliopsida; Brassicales; Brassicaceae.